CCUACGGGGGGUAGCAGUGGGGAAUAUUGGACAAUGGGCGAAAGCCUGAUCCAGCCAUGCCGCGUGUGUGAAGAAGGCCUUCGGGUUGUAAAGCACUUUCAGUGGGGAAGAAAGCCUUGGGGCUAAUACCCUCGAGGAAGGACAUCACCCACAGAAGAAGCACCGGCUAACUCCGUGCCAGCAGCCGCGGUAAUACGGAGGGUGCGAGCGUUAAUCGGAAUUACUGGGCGUAAAGCGCGCGUAGGCGGUCUGAUAAGCCGGUUGUGAAAGCCCCGGGCUCAACCUGGGAACGGCAUCCGGAACUGUCAGGCUAGAGUGCAGGAGAGGAAGGUAGAAUUCCCGGUGUAGCGGUGAAAUGCGUAGAGAUCGGGAGGAAUACCAGUGGCGAAGGCGGCCUUCUGGACUGACACUGACGCUGAGGUGCGAAAGCGUGGGUAGCAAACAGGAUUAGAUACCCGUGUAGUC
This 465-nucleotide ribosomal RNA is filed under the name Vreelandella stevensii. Its description in RNAcentral is "partial 16S ribosomal RNA". It matches the Rfam family "Bacterial small subunit ribosomal RNA", at positions 338 to 795 of the family's 1533-position model. The record is from RNAcentral. Lineage: Bacteria; Pseudomonadati; Pseudomonadota; Gammaproteobacteria; Oceanospirillales; Halomonadaceae.